Molecule: ribosomal RNA, 305 nt
Filed under: uncultured bacterium
Lineage: Bacteria
Description: bacterial SSU rRNA
Rfam family: Bacterial small subunit ribosomal RNA
Source: RNAcentral
AGCCUACGGGGGGCAGCAGUGGGGGAUAUUGCACAAUGGGGGGAACCCUGAUGCAGCGACGCCGCGUGAGCGAUGAAGUAUUUCGGUAUGUAAAGCUCUAUCAGCAGGGAAGAAAAUGACGGUACCUGCAGAGGAAGCCACGGCUAACUACGUGCCAGCAGCCGCGGUAAUACGUAGGGGGCAAGCGUUAUCCGGAAUUACUGGGUGUAAAGGGAGCGUAGACGGUUAAGUAAGUCUGGAGUGAAAGGCCGGGGCUCAACCCCGGGACUGCUCUGGAAACUAUUUAACUUGAGUGCAGGAGAGGU